AACGAACGCUGGCGGCAUGCCUAACACAUGCAAGUCGAACGAGACCUUCGGGUCUAGUGGCGCACGGGUGCGUAACGCGUGGGAACCUGCCCUUAGGUUCGGAAUAACUCCCCGAAAGGGGUGCUAAUACCGGAUAAUGUCUUCGGACCAAAGAUUUAUCGCCUUUGGAUGGGCCCGCGUUGGAUUAGCUAGUCGGUAGGGUAAAAGCCUACCAAGGCGACGAUCCAUAGCUGGUCUGAGAGGAUGAUCAGCCACACUGGGACGGAGACACGGCCCAGACUCCUACGGGAGGCAGCAGUGGGGAAUAGUGGACAACGGGCGAAAGCAUGAUCCAGCAAUGCCGCGUGAGUGAUGAAGGCCUUAGGGUUGUAAAGCUCUUUUACCCGGGAUGAUAAUGACAGUACCGGGAGAAUAAGCUCCGGCUAACUCCGUG
This 433-nucleotide ribosomal RNA is filed under the name uncultured bacterium. RNAcentral's name for it is "partial 16S ribosomal RNA". It matches the Rfam family "Bacterial small subunit ribosomal RNA", at positions 29 to 507 of the family's 1533-position model. The record is from RNAcentral.